CUUCCCAGGGUCUCUGUGAGUGGCAUGCCCUCUCUCCCACAGCCGUUUCCACUACAGCGUCAAGAUGGGAAGUUGGAGUGUCUAUAAAGAAAUCACAAGUAUGGUGUGGUCCCUAUCCAAAACGUCAUUGUCCACUCUCAGUUCUCAAAAGUUGGAACCAUUCAAAACGACCCUGCCCUUCUUCAGCUCCUCUACCCUAUAAAUUUCGCCGUGACCAUCCAGCCUGUAUGCAUCCCUAAGGAGACUUUCCAGGUGGAAGCUGGGACCAGGUGCUGGGUGACCGGAUGGGGCAGAAGAGAAGAAUUUGGUGAGACUGUGAGGCAGGAAGCAAACUCGGGCAGAAGGAGGCAGCCUUAUCCCUGGAGUAGGCAAGAAGGCUGAAGGGAGGGAUGCAGAGGCAAACUGCUUGGCAGGUGGGUUAAGGGGGUAGCAGUUUAGCAGCAGCCAGGAUAAUGGUUCCCGAUUGGCCUGAGCCCAGAAAUUAGUUGAGGUCUUUUGUUGCAACAGAUAUUUGAUGGCGGCCAUUUAGGAAAGGCACCGGUCCUGGGAACUGGAGCUGCUCUCAGGAGAAGAAGAAAUACCUGGGUGAAGUCUCCUGCAGAUUUGUGGGGGACCACGCCUGGCUGGUGUGGGGGUAUUUUUAGGUUCCCUGAGGACAGAGCCAGAUGCUAUGGAGUUCUAUCCAGGGUGGAUAUCUGCUCAGGGGGUGAUGAGCUGUCUGCCCAUCGGAGCUGUCCCUCACAGGAAGUACCUGCCUUGGUGGCGAACUCUACUCAUAUAUUCUCCAGGAGGUUGACCAAUACAUCAUCUACUAUGACAGAUGUAAUCAGGUGGUCCAGAAGGCCAUGUCAACAAAUAAGGAUGUAGUAUUAAAAGGAAUGAUCUGUGGCUAUAAAGAUGCAGGAAAGGAUGCCUGUCAGCUUUGAAAAAGCAAGCUGCCAUGAGUCCUCCAGCCACAGGAAAUGAAUUCAGGCAAUAACUGAUGGAGUUUGGAAGCAAACUCUUCCCCAAUCAAGUCUCCCAGUGGAUGAGAAUCCAGCCCGGGCUGACACCUUGAUUGCAGCCUUUCAGAAGACCCAGCUAAGCUGUGCCUGGACUUCUGAUCAACAGGAACUGUGAGAUAAUAAACUU
Diceros bicornis minor is the source of this 1131-nucleotide long non-coding RNA. RefSeq lists it as uncharacterized. NCBI's taxonomy places the organism in Eukaryota, Metazoa, Chordata, Mammalia, Perissodactyla, Rhinocerotidae. The record is from RefSeq and is a predicted model, not a curated record. The transcript is spliced from 3 exons.